RNAcentral lists this ribosomal RNA (500 nucleotides) under uncultured bacterium. Its description in RNAcentral is "bacterial SSU rRNA". It matches the Rfam family "Bacterial small subunit ribosomal RNA", at positions 982 to 1482 of the family's 1533-position model. The record is from RNAcentral.
UGACAUCCACGGAAGUUUUCAGAGAUGAGAAUGUGCCUUCGGGAACCGUGAGACAGGUGCUGCAUGGCUGUCGUCAGCUCGUGUUGUGAAAUGUUGGGUUAAGUCCCGCAACGAGCGCAACCCUUAUCCUUUGUUGCCAGCGGUCCGGCCGGGAACUCAAAGGAGACUGCCAGUGAUAAACUGGAGGAAGGUGGGGAUGACGUCAAGUCAUCAUGGCCCUUACGACCAGGGCUACACACGUGCUACAAUGGCGCAUACAAAGAGAAGCGACCUCGCGAGAGCAAGCGGACCUCAUAAAGUGCGUCGUAGUCCGGAUUGGAGUCUGCAACUCGACUCCAUGAAGUCGGAAUCGCUAGUAAUCGUGGAUCAGAAUGCCACGGUGAAUACGUUCCCGGGCCUUGUACACACCGCCCGUCACACCAUGGGAGUGGGUUGCAAAAGAAGUAGGUAGCUUAACCUUCGGGAGGGCGCUUACCACUUUGUGAUUCAUGACUGGGGUG